UGUUCCCUGCGGUGUUCGAGUUGUCCAUAUACUCUUUGAACCAAUGCUAACUAGCGAGGUUGCCGAGCCAUUGGCGAGCUGGUGUGCGCUCCCACGCGGAAGCGCCUGAAGGCUCCGGCAGGCGACCCUCUUGAACCUCCGGUUCAGGAUGAGGGCAAUACGGCACAGGCGGGGAACAC
RNAcentral lists this non-coding RNA (179 nucleotides) under Betaproteobacteria bacterium. RNAcentral's name for it is "6S RNA". It matches the Rfam family "6S / SsrS RNA". Rfam says of the family: E. coli 6S RNA was the first non coding RNA to be sequenced, but its function was unknown until recently. It consists of 184 nucleotides that fold into an extended hairpin structure with a large single-stranded internal bulge. The 6S RNA specifically associates with RNA polymerase holoenzyme containing the sigma70 specificity factor. Lineage: Bacteria; Pseudomonadati; Pseudomonadota; Betaproteobacteria. The record is from RNAcentral.